AUUGAACGCUAGCGGGAUGCUUUACACAUGCAAGUCGAACGAGUGGCGGACGGGUUAGUAAUAUAUCGGAAUGUGCCCAGUAGAGGGGGAUAACUACUCGAAACAGUGGCUAAUACCGCAUACUAUUGUAUCGGCCCAUCUCGGAUUAGCUAGUUGGUGGGGUAAAGGCUCACCAAGGCAACGAUCUGUAGCUGGUUUGAGAGGAGGACCAGCCACUCUGGGACUGAGACACGGCCCAGACUCCUACGGGAGGCAGCAGUGGGGAAUUUUGGACAAUGGGGGAAAGCCUGAUACAGCCAUGCCGCGUGUAUGAGAAGGCCUUCGGGUUGUAAAGUACUUUUGGCGGAGAAGCGAUAUCUGCAGAAUAAUCACCGGCUAACUACGUGCCAGCAGCCGCGGUAAUAC
Molecule: ribosomal RNA, 405 nt
Filed under: uncultured bacterium
Lineage: Bacteria
Description: partial 16S ribosomal RNA
Rfam family: Bacterial small subunit ribosomal RNA
Source: RNAcentral